AAAGUUAAUUUCAAACAACCUUAUUACAAUAUCAACAAAUUAAGAGAGUAACCGACCGUCCUUAAAGCAAAUGGUAAAGCGCUUGAUGGUUGGUAGCCGAAACCCAAAUUCGAAUCCUAAUUGAUUUACAUUUUUUGCUAAUUUUAUUUCUAAAUGAAAUAAACGAAGCGGUAGCAUGCUAUCUACCUCUCAAAAAAAAAAAAAAAAAAAACUUAAAUGGUAAAUU
Molecule: long non-coding RNA, 226 nt
Filed under: Ananas comosus (pineapple)
Lineage: Eukaryota; Viridiplantae; Streptophyta; Magnoliopsida; Poales; Bromeliaceae
Description: long non-coding RNA (ACOM_LNC018923)
Source: RNAcentral